RNAcentral lists this ribosomal RNA (703 nucleotides) under uncultured Lachnospiraceae bacterium. Its description in RNAcentral is "bacterial SSU rRNA". It matches the Rfam family "Bacterial small subunit ribosomal RNA", at positions 46 to 749 of the family's 1533-position model. Lineage: Bacteria; Bacillati; Bacillota; Clostridia; Lachnospirales; Lachnospiraceae. The record is from RNAcentral.
GCCUAACACAUGCAAGUCGAGCGAAGCACUUUGCUUAGAUUCUUCGGAUGAAGAGGAUUGUGACUGAGCGGCGGACGGGUGAGUAACGCGUGGGUAACCUGCCUCAUACAGGGGGAUAACAGUUAGAAAUGACUGCUAAUACCGCAUAAGACCACAGCACCGCAUGGUGCGGGGGUAAAAACUCCGGUGGUAUGAGAUGGACCCGCGUCUGAUUAGCUAGUUGGUAAGGUAACGGCUUACCAAGGCGACGAUCAGUAGCCGACCUGAGAGGGUGACCGGCCACAUUGGGACUGAGACACGGCCCAAACUCCUACGGGAGGCAGCAGUGGGGAAUAUUGCACAAUGGGGGAAACCCUGAUGCAGCGACGCCGCGUGAGCGAAGAAGUAUUUCGGUAUGUAAAGCUCUAUCAGCAGGGAAGAAAAUGACGGUACCUGACUAAGAAGCACCGGCUAAAUACGUGCCAGCAGCCGCGGUAAUACGUAUGGUGCAAGCGUUAUCCGGAUUUACUGGGUGUAAAGGGAGCGUAGACGGAUGGGCAAGUCUGAUGUGAAAACCCGGGGCUCAACCCCGGGACUGCAUUGGAAACUGUUCAUCUAGAGUGCUGGAGAGGUAAGUGGAAUUCCUAGUGUAGCGGUGAAAUGCGUAGAUAUUAGGAGGAACACCAGUGGCGAAGGCGGCUUACUGGACAGUAACUGACGUUGA